AUAAUUGUUUGGUAACCAGCAAUACAUUUAGAACCUAUCUUUUCGGCUAUGCAUUAUUAACCAAUUAAUACAAAUUAGCAUAGCAUCACAAAAUUAUGAUAUCUAACUUUUUGAAUAAUUCCUGCCUGUUAUUCAACUACAGGUAACUAAUAGAGAUAAGUCUAAUAAUGUUAAUAUAUCUGUAUUACAACGUGAAUAUUCUAAAUUACAGGCAAUUACACAAUUGCCUUUGUAAAGCUAACCACAAGUGUAUUGAUAUCCUUUAUAAAGGAUAAUCAAUUUAACAAUUGACAAAGUGCAUAUCAAGAC
Pelobates cultripes (western spadefoot toad) is the source of this 309-nucleotide non-coding RNA. The record is from the annotation of a GenBank genome assembly. Lineage: Eukaryota; Metazoa; Chordata; Amphibia; Anura; Pelobatidae.